UACGAAGGGGGCUAGCGUUGCUCGGAAUCACUGGGCGUAAAGGGUGCGUAGGCGGGUCUUUAAGUCAGGGGUGAAAUCCUGGAGCUCAACUCCAGAACUGCCUUUGAUACUGAGGAUCUUGAGUUCGGGAGAGGUGAGUGGAACUGCGAGUGUAGAGGUGAAAUUCGUAGAUAUUCGCAAGAACACCAGUGGCGAAGGCGGCUCACUGGCCCAAUACUGACGCUGAUGCACGAAAGCGUGGGGAGCAAACGGG
RNAcentral lists this ribosomal RNA (253 nucleotides) under uncultured bacterium. RNAcentral describes it as "partial 16S ribosomal RNA". It matches the Rfam family "Bacterial small subunit ribosomal RNA", at positions 524 to 776 of the family's 1533-position model. The record is from RNAcentral.